GAUGAACGCUGGCGGCGUGCCUAAUACAUGCCAGUCGAGCGAACAGACGAGGAGCUUGCUCCUCUGACGUUAGCGGCGGACGGGUGAGUAACACGUGGAUAACCUACCUAUAAGACUGGGAUAACUUCGGGAAACCGGAGCUAAUACCGGAUAAUAUAUUGAACCGCAUUGUUCAAUAGUGAAAUACGGUUUUGCUGUCACUUAUAGAUGGAUCCGCGCCGCAUUAGCUAGUUGGUAAGGUAACGGCUUACCAAGGCAACGAUGCGUAGCCGACCUGAGAGGGUGAUCGGCCACACUGGAACUGAGACACGGUCCAGACGCCUACGGGAGGCAGCAGUAGGGAAUCUUCCGCAAUGGGCGAAAGCCUGACGGAGCAACGCCGCGUGAGUGAUGAAGGUCUUCGGAUCGUAAAACUCUGUUAUUAGGGAAGAACAAAUGUGUAAGUAACUAUGCACGUCUUGACGGUACCUAAUAAGAAAGCCACGGCUAACUACGUG
RNAcentral lists this ribosomal RNA (497 nucleotides) under uncultured bacterium. RNAcentral describes it as "partial 16S ribosomal RNA". It matches the Rfam family "Bacterial small subunit ribosomal RNA", at positions 28 to 507 of the family's 1533-position model. The record is from RNAcentral.